UCUUUAGCAACGAUUAGGAAGAGUAGGUUUUGAUGUUUGAUAGAGAGUCCUUGUUGGUGGAAAUAGGAUAAAAUAAGAAAUUGAAGGUAGCCUAGGAGCAUGUUUAUUGAAACUAAGUAGGUAAACACGUAUAACUGCGUUAAAGUUUUUGAGGCAUAAAUAUUAUGCAAAGUAAGGUGGUACCACGAGCAUUCGUCCUUAUG
Molecule: non-coding RNA, 203 nt
Filed under: Thomasclavelia spiroformis
Lineage: Bacteria; Bacillati; Bacillota; Erysipelotrichia; Erysipelotrichales; Coprobacillaceae
Description: Clostridium spiroforme T-box sequence
Rfam family: T-box leader
About the family: Uncharged tRNA acts as the effector for transcription antitermination of genes in the T-box leader family. T-boxes are found upstream of many aminoacyl-tRNA synthetase genes and some amino acid biosynthetic genes usually in Gram-positive bacteria.
Source: RNAcentral